This 652-nucleotide ribosomal RNA is filed under the name Enterococcus sp. Its description in RNAcentral is "bacterial SSU rRNA". It matches the Rfam family "Bacterial small subunit ribosomal RNA", at positions 123 to 761 of the family's 1533-position model. Lineage: Bacteria; Bacillati; Bacillota; Bacilli; Lactobacillales; Enterococcaceae. The record is from RNAcentral.
AACCUGCCCAUCAGAAGGGGAUAACACUUGGAAACAGGUGCUAAUACCGUAUAACAAUCGAAACCGCAUGGUUUUGAUUUGAAAGGCGCUUUCGGGUGUCGCUGAUGGAUGGACCCGCGGUGCAUUAGCUAGUUGGUGAGGUAACGGCUCACCAAGGCCACGAUGCAUAGCCGACCUGAGAGGGUGAUCGGCCACAUUGGGACUGAGACACGGCCCAAACUCCUACGGGAGGCAGCAGUAGGGAAUCUUCGGCAAUGGACGAAAGUCUGACCGAGCAACGCCGCGUGAGUGAAGAAGGUUUUCGGAUCGUAAAACUCUGUUGUUAGAGAAGAACAAGGAUGAGAGUAACUGUUCAUCCCUUGACGGUAUCUAACCAGAAAGCCACGGCUAACUACGUGCCAGCAGCCGCGGUAAUACGUAGGUGGCAAGCGUUGUCCGGAUUUAUUGGGCGUAAAGCGAGCGCAGGCGGUUUCUUAAGUCUGAUGUGAAAGCCCCCGGCUCAACCGGGGAGGGUCAUUGGAAACUGGGAGACUUGAGUGCAUAAGAGGAGAGUGGAAUUCCAUGUGUAGCGGUGAAAUGCGUAGAUAUAUGGAGGAACACCAGUGUCGAAGGCGGCUCUCUGGUCUGUAACUGACGCUGAGGCUCGAAAGCG